GAUGAAGAACGUAGCGAAAUGCGAUAAGUAAUGCGAAUUGCAGAAUUCCAGUGAGUCAUCGAAUCUUUGAACGCACAUUGCGCCCGCCAGUAUUCUGGCGGGCAUGCCUGUUCGAGCGUCAUUACAACCCUCAGGCCCCCGGGCCUGGCGUUGGGGAUCGGCGGAGCCCCCCGUGGGCACACGCCGUCCCCCAAAUACAGUGGCGGUCCCGCCGCAGCUUCCAUCGCGUAGUAGCUAACACCUCGCGACUGGAGAGCGGCGCGGCCACGCCGUAAAACACCCAACUCUUCUGAAGUUGACCUCGAAUCAGGUAGGAAUACCCGCUGAACUUAAGCAUAUCAAUAAGCGGAGGA
Molecule: unclassified non-coding RNA, 353 nt
Filed under: soil metagenome
Description: partial contains 5.8S ribosomal RNA, internal transcribed spacer 2, and large subunit ribosomal RNA
Rfam family: 5.8S ribosomal RNA (bases 1-121)
Source: RNAcentral